AGAGUUUGAUCCUGGCUCAGGAUGAACGCUAGCUACAGGCUUAACACAUGCAAGUCGAGGGGCAGCAUUGGAGUAGCAAUACUCAGAUGGCGACCGGCGCACGGGUGAGUAACACGUAUCCAACCUGCCGCUUACUCGGGGAUAGCCUUUCGAAAGAAAGAUUAAUACCCGAUGGUAUAAAGAGUUCGCAUGUUCUCUUUAUUAAAGAAUUUCGGUAAGCGAUGGGGAUGCGUUCCAUUAGAUAGUUGGCGGGGUAACGGCCCACCAAGUCUACGAUGGAUAGGGGUUCUGAGAGGAAGGUCCCCCACAUUGGAACUGAGACACGGCCAAACUCCUACGGGAGGCAGCAGUGAGGAAUAUUGGUCAAUGGACGAGAGUCUGAACCAGCCAAAAGUAGCGUGAAGGAUGACUGCCCUAUGGGUUGUAAACUUCUUUUAUAAGGGAAUAAAGUGAGGGACGUGUUCCCUUUUUGUAUGUACCUUAUGAAUAAGGAUCGGCUAACUCCGUGCCAGCCGCGGC
Molecule: ribosomal RNA, 519 nt
Filed under: uncultured bacterium
Lineage: Bacteria
Description: bacterial SSU rRNA
Rfam family: Bacterial small subunit ribosomal RNA
Source: RNAcentral